Molecule: ribosomal RNA, 2921 nt
Filed under: Staphylococcus aureus
Lineage: Bacteria; Bacillati; Bacillota; Bacilli; Caryophanales; Staphylococcaceae
Also listed under: 1 other name
Description: bacterial LSU rRNA
Rfam family: Bacterial large subunit ribosomal RNA
Source: RNAcentral
UUAAGUUAUUAAGGGCGCACGGUGGAUGCCUUGGCACUAGAAGCCAAUGAAGGACGUUACUAACGACGAUAUGCUUUGGGGAGCUGUAAGUAAGCUUUGAUCCAGAGAUUUCCGAAUGGGGAAACCCAGCAUGAGUUAUGUCAUGUUAUCGAUAUGUGAAUACAUAGCAUAUCAGAAGGCACACCCGGAGAACUGAAACAUCUUAGUACCCGGAGGAAGAGAAAGAAAAUUCGAUUCCCUUAGUAGCGGCGAGCGAAACGGGAAGAGCCCAAACCAACAAGCUUGCUUGUUGGGGUUGUAGGACACUCUAUACGGAGUUACAAAGGACGACAUUAGACGAAUCAUCUGGAAAGAUGAAUCAAAGAAGGUAAUAAUCCUGUAGUCGAAAAUGUUGUCUCUCUUGAGUGGAUCCUGAGUACGACGGAGCACGUGAAAUUCCGUCGGAAUCUGGGAGGACCAUCUCCUAAGGCUAAAUACUCUCUAGUGACCGAUAGUGAACCAGUACCGUGAGGGAAAGGUGAAAAGCACCCCGGAAGGGGAGUGAAAUAGAACCUGAAACCGUGUGCUUACAAGUAGUCAGAGCCCGUUAAUGGGUGAUGGCGUGCCUUUUGUAGAAUGAACCGGCGAGUUACGAUUUGAUGCAAGGUUAAGCAGUAAAUGUGGAGCCGUAGCGAAAGCGAGUCUGAAUAGGGCGUUUAGUAUUUGGUCGUAGACCCGAAACCAGGUGAUCUACCCUUGGUCAGGUUGAAGUUCAGGUAACACUGAAUGGAGGACCGAACCGACUUACGUUGAAAAGUGAGCGGAUGAACUGAGGGUAGCGGAGAAAUUUCAAUCGAACCUGGAGAUAGCUGGUUCUCUCCGAAAUAGCUUUAGGGCUAGCCUCAAGUGAUGAUUAUUGGAGGUAGAGCACUGUUUGGACGAGGGGCCCCUCUCGGGUUACCGAAUUCAGACAAACUCCGAAUGCCAAUUAAUUUAACUUGGGAGUCAGAACAUGGGUGAUAAGGUCCGUGUUCGAAAGGGAAACAGCCCAGACCACCAGCUAAGGUCCCAAAAUAUAUGUUAAGUGGAAAAGGAUGUGGCGUUGCCCAGACAACUAGGAUGUUGGCUUAGAAGCAGCCAUCAUUUAAAGAGUGCGUAAUAGCUCACUAGUCGAGUGACACUGCGCCGAAAAUGUACCGGGGCUAAACAUAUUACCGAAGCUGUGGAUUGUCCUUUGGACAAUGGUAGGAGAGCGUUCUAAGGGCGUUGAAGCAUGAUCGUAAGGACAUGUGGAGCGCUUAGAAGUGAGAAUGCCGGUGUGAGUAGCGAAAGACGGGUGAGAAUCCCGUCCACCGAUUGACUAAGGUUUCCAGAGGAAGGCUCGUCCGCUCUGGGUUAGUCGGGUCCUAAGCUGAGGCCGACAGGCGUAGGCGAUGGAUAACAGGUUGAUAUUCCUGUACCACCUAUAAUCGUUUUAAUCGAUGGGGGGACGCAGUAGGAUAGGCGAAGCGUGCGAUUGGAUUGCACGUCUAAGCAGUAAGGCUGAGUAUUAGGCAAAUCCGGUACUCGUUAAGGCUGAGCUGUGAUGGGGAGAAGACAUUGUGUCUUCGAGUCGUUGAUUUCACACUGCCGAGAAAAGCCUCUAGAUAGAAAAUAGGUGCCCGUACCGCAAACCGACACAGGUAGUCAAGAUGAGAAUUCUAAGGUGAGCGAGCGAACUCUCGUUAAGGAACUCGGCAAAAUGACCCCGUAACUUCGGGAGAAGGGGUGCUCUUUAGGGUUAACGCCCAGAAGAGCCGCAGUGAAUAGGCCCAAGCGACUGUUUAUCAAAAACACAGGUCUCUGCUAAACCGUAAGGUGAUGUAUAGGGGCUGACGCCUGCCCGGUGCUGGAAGGUUAAGAGGAGUGGUUAGCUUCUGCGAAGCUACGAAUCGAAGCCCCAGUAAACGGCGGCCGUAACUAUAACGGUCCUAAGGUAGCGAAAUUCCUUGUCGGGUAAGUUCCGACCCGCACGAAAGGCGUAACGAUUUGGGCACUGUCUCAACGAGAGACUCGGUGAAAUCAUAGUACCUGUGAAGAUGCAGGUUACCCGCGACAGGACGGAAAGACCCCGUGGAGCUUUACUGUAGCCUGAUAUUGAAAUUCGGCACAGCUUGUACAGGAUAGGUAGGAGCCUUUGAAACGUGAGCGCUAGCUUACGUGGAGGCGCUGGUGGGAUACUACCCUAGCUGUGUUGGCUUUCUAACCCGCACCACUUAUCGUGGUGGGAGACAGUGUCAGGCGGGCAGUUUGACUGGGGCGGUCGCCUCCUAAAAGGUAACGGAGGCGCUCAAAGGUUCCCUCAGAAUGGUUGGAAAUCAUUCAUAGAGUGUAAAGGCAUAAGGGAGCUUGACUGCGAGACCUACAAGUCGAGCAGGGUCGAAAGACGGACUUAGUGAUCCGGUGGUUCCGCAUGGAAGGGCCAUCGCUCAACGGAUAAAAGCUACCCCGGGGAUAACAGGCUUAUCUCCCCCAAGAGUUCACAUCGACGGGGAGGUUUGGCACCUCGAUGUCGGCUCAUCGCAUCCUGGGGCUGUAGUCGGUCCCAAGGGUUGGGCUGUUCGCCCAUUAAAGCGGUACGCGAGCUGGGUUCAGAACGUCGUGAGACAGUUCGGUCCCUAUCCGUCGUGGGCGUAGGAAAUUUGAGAGGAGCUGUCCUUAGUACGAGAGGACCGGGAUGGACAUACCUCUGGUGUACCAGUUGUCGUGCCAACGGCAUAGCUGGGUAGCUAUGUGUGGACGGGAUAAGUGCUGAAAGCAUCUAAGCAUGAAGCCCCCCUCAAGAUGAGAUUUCCCAACUUCGGUUAUAAGAUCCCUCAAAGAUGAUGAGGUUAAUAGGUUCGAGGUGGAAGCAUGGUGACAUGUGGAGCUGACGAAUACUAAUCGAUCGAAGACUUAAUCAA